AGAGUUUGAUCAUGGCUCAGGAUGAACGCUGGCGGCGUGCCUAACACAUGCAAGUCGAGCGAUUCUCUUCGGAGAAGAGCGGCGGACGGGUGAGUAACGCGUGGGUAACCUGCCCUGUACACACGGAUAACAUACCGAAAGGUAUGCUAAUACGAGAUAAUAUACUUUUAUCGCAUGGUAGAAGUAUCAAAGCUCCGGCGGUACAGGAUGGGCCCGCGUCUGAUUAGCUAGUUGGUAAGGUAACGGCUUACCAAGGCGACGAUCAGUAGCCGACCUGAGAGGGUGAUCGGCCACAUUGGAACUGAGACACGGUCCAAACUCCUACGGGAGGCAGCAGUGGGGAAUAUUGCACAAUGGGCGAAAGCCUGAUGCAGCAACGCCGCGUGAGCGAUGAAGGCCUUCGGGUCGUAAAGCUCUGUCCUCAAGGAAGAUAAUGACGGUACUUGAGGAGGAAGCCCCGGCUAACUACGUGCCAGCAGCCGCGGUAAUACGUAGGGGGCUAGCGUUAUCCGGAAUUACUGGGCGUAAAGGGUGCGUAGGUGGUUUCUUAAGUCAGAGGUGAAAGGCUACGGCUCAACCGUAGUAAGCCUUUGAAACUGGGAAACUUGAGUGCAGGAGAGGAGAGUGGAAUUCCUAGUGUAGCGGUGAAAUGCGUAGAUAUUAGGAGGAACACCAGUUGCGAAGGCGGCUCUCUGGACUGUAACUGACACUGAGGCACGAAAGCGUGGGGAGCAAACAGGAUUAGAUACCCCGGUAGUCCACGCCGUAAACGAUGAGUACUAGCUGUCGGAGGUUACCCCCUUCGGUGGCGCAGCUAACGCAUUAAGUACUCCGCCUGGGAAGUACGCUCGCAAGAGUGAAACUCAAAGGAAUUGACGGGGACCCGCACAAGUAGCGGAGCAUGUGGUUUAAUUCGAAGCAACGCGAAGAACCUUACCUAAGCUUGACAUCCUUUUGACCGAUGCCUAAUCGCAUCUUUCCCUUCGGGGACAGAAGUGACAGGUGGUGCAUGGUUGUCGUCAGCUCGUGUCGUGAGAUGUUGGGUUAAGUCCCGCAACGAGCGCAACCCUUGCCUUUAGUUGCCAGCAUUAAGUUGGGCACUCUAGAGGGACUGCCAGGGAUAACCUGGAGGAAGGUGGGGAUGACGUCAAAUCAUCAUGCCCCUUAUGCUUAGGGCUACACACGUGCUACAAUGGGUGGUACAGAGGGCAGCCAAGUCGUGAGGCGGAGCUAAUCCCUUAAAGCCAUUCUCAGUUCGGAUUGUAGGCUGAAACUCGCCUACAUGAAGCUGGAGUUACUAGUAAUCGCAGAUCAGAAUGCUGCGGUGAAUGCGUUCCCGGGUCUUGUACACACCGCCCGUCACACCACGGGAGUUGGGGGCGCCCGAAGCCGGAUUGCUAACCUUUUGGAAGCGUCCGUCGAAGGUGAAAUCAAUAACUGGGGUGAAGUCGUAACAAGGUA
This 1461-nucleotide ribosomal RNA is filed under the name metagenome. Its description in RNAcentral is "bacterial SSU rRNA". It matches the Rfam family "Bacterial small subunit ribosomal RNA". The record is from RNAcentral.